This 4823-nucleotide long non-coding RNA is filed under the name Oryzias sinensis (Chinese medaka). RNAcentral's name for it is "lncRNA (ENSOSIG00000003460.1)". The record is from RNAcentral. Lineage: Eukaryota; Metazoa; Chordata; Actinopteri; Beloniformes; Adrianichthyidae.
AUGGGUUCUUCUAAAGUGGUCUGCUUUCCACACCUCGACAAAAUAUAUCGGGGUCAGGACGUGGUUCUGUCAUGUCGAGUAGAACCUCCAUUUGACUUGACGAAUGAGACCUUGGAAUGGAAACAUGGCAAAGAGAAUGUUCACCGGUAUCCAAGUUUGUGGGACUACCUAGACCAUCAAUACUCGAGGUUCUUUAACAGGACCUUCCUCAACCACCUGAACCUGAAGGAUGGAAUCGCUUCCCUCACACUGACCAACUUCACCAACCAGGAUGAAGGAAACUACUCCUUCUGUCUUCCUGAGCUGCUCAGUUGUUCUGACAUCACCCUGACGGAGAGAUCUGAUCUGAGCUUUGGUGACUACUCUGCCAUAGUUGGAGGUGUUUUUGGUUUUUUUGGUGUUUUUGGUGCUGUUGUUGGGGGGAUCCUGGCGUUUUUACGUUCUAGAAACAGAAACAGAGACAGAACUGAUCUCCAACCAGAGUCUGCUUCCAUCCCUCUGAGAUGGUGUAAAGACCCCCGCCACAGUAUCUGCGGAAGCCAGAACCCCCCAGAGCCCGAACUGCAGCAGAUGGAGAGCAACUGCCCCCCGGGUGAUUGCUUCCGCUACCCAGGCCAGGGCCAGCAGGACCGCCCACGGGGCUCCCAGAGCCCCCAGAGCCAGAGAGCAGGGGGGCAUGGGGGGGGGCAGAGGAGGGAGGGCCCAACGCAGGGCCCCGCCCAUGAAGGGCGCCUCAUCACCCUCCGGGAGCUCUGGGAAUCCCCUGGCUUCAACCUUUUUUUCACAAGCCAGGACCCCCAAGGGAAACCCACCCGCGCUCCAGGCACCCACCCAUCCGGCCUACGGUAGGUCCAGAAAGGAGCAAGGCAGGGGCCAGUACUGAGAUCAAGGUUCUGUAGAAAGAGACUGACUGAUUACAUUGGUUGUGCUUUGCUGUCAGAGUUCAUCACUUUAGUUAGCUAAUUAGUUUAAAGCUAGAAAAAAAACAUAUCUAGAAAAAUCAGAAGAAUUGCUGGAAAUCCAGUAGAAAAGCAGCAAAAAGCAAAGUUCAUCAGAAUGUCUUGAUGUCGUUUUUGUGAAGGCUGCUGUAACAGAAUGACAGCAUAAAGAUAAAAUGAUGUUCAUGAGUUAAUUCCUUAAAGUAAAUGCUCCCUCUCUGCAGGAACCCAGAAGACCCAGCUGAGUUUUGAACAUCACUAAGGAGGAAAGGAUGCUAACCACUACACCAAAGAGCAGCCAAGCUCCUACAGAGAAAAACCUUCAUCUUUGGUGGAUCGAUGUCUCUAAAUCCUUCCAAACUUAUGCCCUAAAUAACCACAAAAGUUGAACUUAGCUCCUGGAUGAGGCCGUUAAAGCUUUGACGUUGUAACGUUGUGAAAAAGAGUUCUGCAGAGAGAAAAAGUAAAAAAAAAUCUCACUUUAUCAAUAAUGACCAUUAACCUCAUGAAGUCUGGUUGGACGGCUACUGUCUCAAAUUAUGCAUAAAUUAAACAGGAGCUGCACAACCCGGGGGUCACAGUCACCAAAAGGAGGAAAGGUACAACACUAAUAGACUGAAUGCAGGCUUCAGUCCCCCAGGGCAAACUGAUGACCUCAUUAUUAAAGGACACCCAAAUGACUCCACCCCUUAGAUCGUUACAACGUCCAGAAUCUCAUCUGACAUUUCUACUUAAGGCUGUGUCUGCAUCUUUUUCCUUUCCUGUGCCUUCGUCCCAACAGCCCUUACGGGUGGGUAGGACUGUCUGCGAGCAAAAAAUGGUCAAACAGGUACGCACAAAGUAUCAGCACCACUAGGACAGUGAACACUUAUAGGACACGUUAGGGUGACGUAGGUGGGACGCAUUUUUCGACACCCAAAUCUUGCUCAGGUAGCAGGUUAGUGCCGUUCACGUGAUUCGUGUGCGCUCCUUGCUGCACCCUGACUGUUGGAAAUGAGGAAAUUGGACAAUGACACAAAUUUGGCAAUUUGUGUAACCGUCCUACAAGCACUUACAUAUCACGUGCACACCCGUGUGCGUGUGGGAUUUGCAUGCAGUCAGUAAGGAGUCAGUACUCUCACCUCACUGAGAGUGUGUGUAAGGACACCGUACGACAUCAUCACCUGUACGUCAUAAGUACGUUCAAAUUCCAUUAACCUUACGAAUACUUCACGAUACGCUUACCACAUGUACGACAAUGGUACGUUCCAUUUUCAUGAGGUCCCUUGAGGUGGUCGCCCAAGCCUCAAGGUAACUGUACAACACACCUGUACUCCCCUGAAGAUGCAGCCACUCUUCUCCCCGACCCUCCACAGACCCGGACAACCCAAAAACCUGCAGUUCCUGUCCAGGUUGACCGUGUGACCAAGGCUUUAGUCAUUGAAAGCUGGGAUUACCUGAUAAUUGUCAGCCUGUGUUGACCCCAACCUUUGCAAUGGUUCAUUGGUUUAAGCUACUAGUUUGUUGAACAACGAUGGACACACAACUGUGUGUCGGUGCUGCUUAUUGAUUGGAAAUUGGAACAAAUAGCGAGAAAAGGAACAAUGGGAGGAGUUACAGCUUGAAGACGUGUUAGAGAUGAGCGAUGAACCUAAGAGUUUUCAUUUCAAUUCAAUUUUAUUUCUAUAGCUAAAGAUUCACAACAACAGUCUUCUCAGUAAGCUUCAUACUGCUAAUUGUGUAAUAAACAUGAAUUAUAGAGAACAUAAAGUCAUAUAAUUCAACAGGUAAUGGCUAAACUAAACAGAUUAAACUAAACUGGUCAUCUCUGCCCUUAGACCCUACUUCUCUAUAAAGAAAAACAGUGUUAAGGAGGCUUUUUGGUUGAAAAGUGGAACAAAUAGCCUGAAAAGGAACAUUGGGAGGAAUUCUAGCUUGAAGACGUGUUCAAGUUUUAUAUUGAGCCCAAUAUUACAACAAUUGUCGUCUCAAUGGGCUUCAUGUUGGUAAUUGUAUAAAAAAACGAAGUCAUAAAUUUCAACAGGUAAUUGCUAAGCUAAAUGAAACAAACUAAGCUAAACUGGGCAACCCUGCCCAAAGACCCUCCUUCUUGGUUAGGAAAACAGGGUUGAUACUAUUGGUUUUCUGGUCUCUUUCGGCUCCAUUUCUGUUUUCGUAAUGACUCAACAGCCAAACAGCCAAAUGGGAAGAAAUACCAAAAAAAGCUUUUUUAUCAGACAGGUAUUGACUGGUUUUUCAGUCAAACUUGUCAAAAAGUGAAAAUCAUCAAUCCGUUGGUAUCAACUUAGACUACGGUCACAUAUCUGAAAACGCUACCAUGCGGCGCUUUAAAUGCCAGUUUUGUUAUUGGGAGGCGGCAGUCGUAUUUCUACAUGCCGUCUAGGGCCACAGAGGUUUUAAGUAAAACUUUAGAAAAGCUUUUUUUACUCAGCUAAAUGAUGUUAUUAAUGAAAACAACAUUUUAAUACUUUCAGUCUGGUUUCAGACCUCACCACUCAACAGAGAUGGUACUUGUCAGGGUCUUAAAUGGUCUUAGGUCCAAUGCUGACAUGAAGAAAGUAUCUCUUUUAGUCUUACUGGACCUGAGUGCAGCCUUUGACACAGUUGACCACUCUAUCCUUUAAAACAGACUUCACCACAUGGUUGGAAUUACUGGGAUAGCUUUUAAUUGAUUUAAAUCCUACCUCACAAAUGGAGGUUUCAUUGUUAAUUUAAAUGACUUUUCAUCUGGGAGGCACAAACUGACAUGUGAGGUGCCCCAAGUCUCUAUCCUUGGUCUUUACAUGCUUCCUCUUGGUGAUGUCAUCAGGAGACACGGCAUUAACUUUCAUAGCUAUGCUGAUGACACUCAACUGUAUGUAGCUGUGUCUCCUGAUGAUAUUGAACCCAUGAAUAGAGUUCUAAACUGUAUUUUAGAUAUUAAAAUGUGGAUGGGAGAGAACUUUUUGCUGCUCAACCAGGACAAAACUGAAGUCUUGGUAACAGUUUGGAGGCGGAGAGAGAUAGGGUUCCAUUUUAUCUGUCACCCAAUUCUAUGACCACAUGUGAUACAGUAAGGAACCUCUGUGUGAUUUUAGAUGCAGAUCUGAGCUUUGAUCAACAUGUGAAUCAAGUAACUAAAUCUGCAUUUUACCAGAUUUCUGAUUUCUCUCUAGAGCCAGUGCUGAAAUCUUAUUUCAUGCUUUUAUCACAUCAAGGAUAGAUUACUGUAAUGCCCUUUCUGGUGGAAAGAAAAUCACUCUCAAUCGCGUGCAGCUAGUCCAGAACUCUGCUGUACGCCUUUUAACGAGAACCAGGAAGAGGGAGCACAUUACACCAAUAUUAAAAUCUCUGCCUUGGCUCCCUGUUUGCUUCAGGAUUGAUUUCAAGAUUCUUUUAAUAGUUUAUAAGAGUGUUAAUGGUGUUGGUCUUUCUUUUAUAUCCGACUUGCUUUUAACUUAUGAACCUCCCAGAGCCCUUAGGUCCUCAGGUGCAGGCCUGCUGAAGGCCCCCAUGGUCAGGACAAAAUCCACGGCCAGGCCUCGUUUAGAAACUAUGGACCUCGUCUGUGGAACAGAUGUGAGGGCCUCAUCCACUGUCGAGGUUUUCAAAAAAAAAUUAAAGACAUACCUGUUUAAUUCAGCUUUUAAUUAGAUUUCAUAUCAUAUCUUUUUUAAGAUAGAAUUUAUUUGAACUCUUAUGGAUGCUCAUCAUUAUGGUCAGGUUCAGUACUCUAUUUUACUACUACUCUAUUUUAUGAUAUUUUAUCACAUACUUAUUUGUUUAAUCUAGAAUUUUAACUCAUAUUUUUAUGUUUCAUGAUAUUUUAUCUCAUACAUAUUUGUUUAAUCAAGAACUUUUACUCAUAUUUUUAUAUUUCAUGAUAUUUUAUCACAUACUUAUUUG